AAAUAACGCUCGCAUGCCUGUGCACUUCUCCAUCACCACCACUGGGUCUUCAGACCAUUAGCUUUAUCUACUCCAGAGCGCAGAAGAACCCGAUCGACACCAUGAGGGUGUUGCUCGUUGCCCUCGCUCUCCUGGCUCUCGCUGCGAGCGCCACCUCCACGCAUACAAGCGGCGGCUGCGGCUGCCAGCCACCGCCGCCGGUUCAUCUACCGCCGCCGGUGCAUCUGCCACCUCCGGUUCACCUGCCACCUCCGGUGCAUCUCCCACCGCCGGUCCACCUGCCGCCGCCGGUCCACCUGCCACCGCCGGUCCAUGUGCCGCCGCCGGUUCAUCUGCCGCCGCCACCAUGCCACUACCCUACUCAACCGCCCCGGCCUCAGCCUCAUCCCCAGCCACACCCAUGCCCGUGCCAACAGCCGCAUCCAAGCCCGUGCCAGCUGCAGGGAACCUGCGGCGUUGGCAGCACCCCGAUCCUGGGCCAGUGCGUCGAGUUCCUGAGGCAUCAGUGCAGCCCGACGGCGACGCCCUACUGCUCGCCUCAGUGCCAGUCGUUGCGGCAGCAGUGUUGCCAGCAGCUCAGGCAGGUGGAGCCGCAGCACCGGUACCAGGCGAUCUUCGGCUUGGUCCUCCAGUCCAUCCUGCAGCAGCAGCCGCAAAGCGGCCAGGUCGCGGGGCUGUUGGCGGCGCAGAUAGCGCAGCAACUGACGGCGAUGUGCGGCCUGCAGCAGCCGACUCCAUGCCCCUACGCUGCUGCCGGCGGUGUCCCCCACUGAAGAAACUAUGUGCUGUAGUAUAGCCGCUGGCUAGCUAGCUAGUUGAGUCAUUUAGCGGCGAUGAUUGAGUAAUAAUGUGUCACGCAUCACCAUGGGUGGCAGUGUCAGUGUGAGCAAUGACCUGAAUGAACAAUUGAAAUGAAAAGAAAAAAAGUACUCCAUCUGUUCCAAAUUAAAAUUGGUUUUAACCUUUUAAUAGGUUUAUACAAUAAUUGAUAUAUGUUUUCUGUAUAUGUCUAAUUUGUUAUCAUCCAUUUAGAUAUAGAC
RNAcentral lists this long non-coding RNA (1040 nucleotides) under Zea mays. RNAcentral's name for it is "long non-coding RNA (ZMAY_LNC004473)". Lineage: Eukaryota; Viridiplantae; Streptophyta; Magnoliopsida; Poales; Poaceae. The record is from RNAcentral.